This 1453-nucleotide long non-coding RNA is filed under the name Numida meleagris (helmeted guineafowl). RNAcentral describes it as "lncRNA (ENSNMEG00000014722.1)". The record is from RNAcentral. Lineage: Eukaryota; Metazoa; Chordata; Aves; Galliformes; Numididae.
CAGCAUCCCUCUCUCUGUGCUUCAGAAUAUACUGCGUCCUUGGGGCUGAGGCAUGGGAAAGCCACUGUUUUUAUUCCCUUAUGUUCUACAGAGCGAAUGGCCAGUGGAUAAAUAAUUCAGGUUUUUUCCAUGCUAUUCCUAAAGAGAUUUCAGCUGACAUCUGGUUGCAUGCACCUAGUAUCAAUGCAAUUUUCUCUUCUUUGUAGGAAUUGUAGCUCCUGUUCUUUCACCUCCUGCCCGAUUCACAUUCACCCUGCUGAGCUACCCCCCUUCCUGCCAGCUGUCUGCUUGGAACAACCUGUCCUCCGGCAUCUGCUGGUUCCCAGCACAUCCCUGAAGCGAUCGCAGUGCCAGCAUUUUGGUUCCUUGAACGCAGAGCUAUUCCUCCUGCAGAACCCCAAGCUGUUGACAGCUGCUCGGCUUAUUCUCUCCUUUCUUGCUCAUUAUCCAUGAGCUGUGCCUGGUACCAGCCUGCCGAUGGUCAAAAUCUCCCUGCACGUGUCAGCAAGGAGGAUGGCGUGGGCUGAAGGACGGGAGCUGGGCACCCUUCCUGAAGCACAGGUUCCAACCUGCAGCUGCUCUCCAUUGUGAGAGCCCUAAUGUUUCCAGCCUGACCACUGAACUUAGGAGGCACUGAGUGGGCAGACAGGACAUUCACAAGGUGAGGUGGCCUCAGGAGCUUCAUCUUUUCAGAGUCUUGUGAUCACAGUGGCAAUGGGGACAUACUGGCUGGGCAAGUCAUACCUCAUGGAUGCUCAAAGCAUGUGAGCAUAUUUCAGGAGUGCUCAGGAUGAGAAGCAAAGACUAAAGAAGAUUUGGGGCAACCAAGAUCCCAUAGAGAUGGUGAAGUAUGAGCUGCACUGAUCUACCCAAGCCAUCUGAGAUGCUCAGCCCCGAGAUCGACUGCAGAGUUGAAGGCCAGAGCCUGGCUUCCAUCAGGGGAUGUGGUAUCUCAGAAUUCCACGUUUCAUGCAGAUAUAUGGAUGGAUGCUUUGGGGUGCCCCCCCAUAGCCAGCACACCCAAAGAAGGGGCUGCCUACCCUGAUGUGACAACACUAGCCCCAAACCAUCCCUUGGUUGCAUGCGGGUGCAUGGGUUUAAUUCAGGCCCUUCAUGUUAUUCGAGCACAGAUGUUUUUUUUUCCUCCUUUUUUUCUGGUGGUUUAGUUUCUCUCUUAACAGGAAAAAAUGAUCAAAAAUAAGAAAACAAUCACUGUUUGAAAGUGAAUGAAGGGCGCUUUCUCCCCCUCCCCCACGCUUUUUUCCUACUUUGACAUCUCAGUGUUUUUUUUUUCUUUUAGCCGCGGUUUCUGGGAUAGGUGAUAACUGCCAGUAAUAGGAUUAGCAUUGAUUUCUUUAGCAAGAACAGAGAUGUGGCAGUUCCAGCCAUUUACUGAACUGCCAGCUUUGAAAUAUCAAAAAAAAGAAAGAAAAAGAAAUCUGCAGGAAAAAAA